RNAcentral lists this ribosomal RNA (497 nucleotides) under uncultured bacterium. RNAcentral's name for it is "partial 16S ribosomal RNA". It matches the Rfam family "Bacterial small subunit ribosomal RNA", at positions 28 to 507 of the family's 1533-position model. The record is from RNAcentral.
GAUGAACGCUGGCGGCGUGCCUAAUACAUGCAAGUCGAGCGAACAGACGAGGAGCUUGCUCCUCUGACGUUAGCGGCGGACGGGUGAGUAACACGUGUAUAACCUACCUAUAAGACUGGGAUAACUUCGGGAAACCGGAGCUAAUACCGUAUAAUAUAUUGAACCGCAUGGUUCAAUAGUGAAAGACGGUUUUGCUGUCACUUAUAGAUGGAUCCGCGCCGCAUUAGCUAGUUGGUAAGGUAACGGCUUACCAAGGCAACGAUGCGUAGCCGACCUGAGAGGGUGAUAGGCCACACUGGAACUGAGACACGGUCCAGACUCCUACGGGAGGCAGCAGUAGGGAAUCUUCCGCAAUGGGCGAAAGCCUGACGGAGCAACGCCGCGUGAGUGAUGAAGGUCUUCGGAUCGUAAAACUCUGUUAUUAGGGAAGAACAAAUGUGUAAGUAACUAUGCACGUCUUGACGGUACCUAAUCAGAAAGCCACGGCUAACUACGUG